CCUACGGGAGGCAGCAGUGGGGAAUAUUGCACAAUGGGCGCAAGCCUGAUGCAGCGACGCCGCGUGAGGGAUGACGGCCUUCGGGUUGUAAACCUCUUUCAGUAGGGAAGAAGCGAGAGUGACGGUACCUGCAGAAGAAGCGCCGGCUAACUACGUGCCAGCAGCCGCGGUAAUACGUAGGGCGCAAGCGUUAUCCGGAUUUAUUGGGCGUAAAGAGCUCGUAGGCGGUUUGUCGCGUCUGCCGUGAAAGUCCGAGGCUCAACCUCGGAUCUGCGGUGGGUACGGGCAGACUAGAGUGAUGUAGGGGAGACUGGAAUUCCUGGUGUAGCGGUGAAAUGCGCAGAUAUCAGGAGGAACACCGAUGGCGAAGGCAGGUCUCUGGGCAUUUACUGACGCUGAGGAGCGAAAGCAUGGGGAGCGAACAGGAUUAGAUACCCUGGUAGUCCAUGACGUACGUACGGUCGACUAGUGGUGGGACGAUCUCGUUCGUCGCGUCGCACGCAUAGUCGCCGCCGUCGGAGGUACGGCCGCGAACGGUACGUAAACGUUAAAGUUAGUAGUUAGUUACGGCGNGNGNGNGCGACGACGACGACGAGGGAGGAGG
This 604-nucleotide ribosomal RNA is filed under the name uncultured bacterium. RNAcentral's name for it is "bacterial SSU rRNA". The stretch from base 1 to 514 matches the Rfam family "Bacterial small subunit ribosomal RNA", at positions 338 to 873 of the family's 1533-position model. The record is from RNAcentral.